AAGUCGUAACAAGGUAACCGUAGGUGAACCUGCGGUUGGAUCAUUACUGAAUAAUCAAUCGUUGUUGGUCUUUUCGACCGCAGCGUUUGAUAUUACACCCCUUAUGUGAACUGUUUACUGUAUUUUGGCAGCCCUCCAACGGCUGAGCCACUCGACUAAUAAUCGAAGGGCACAGUUUGGGCUGCCAGCCUUAUAAUCAUACUACAUAUACUAUAUAUUAUCUUGAGUCUCCAAGCGAUUCUUUCUUUGAAGAAACGCGUUUUUAAAUAAAAAACAACUUUUGACAACGGAUCUCUUGGC
RNAcentral lists this unclassified non-coding RNA (300 nucleotides) under Chytridiomycota sp. Its description in RNAcentral is "partial contains small subunit ribosomal RNA and internal transcribed spacer 1". The stretch from base 1 to 46 matches the Rfam family "Eukaryotic small subunit ribosomal RNA", at positions 1786 to 1831 of the family's 1831-position model. The record is from RNAcentral. Lineage: Eukaryota; Fungi; Chytridiomycota.